CGUAUGAAAAAUUGCCAUGCUGAC
Molecule: non-coding RNA, 24 nt
Filed under: Arabidopsis thaliana (thale cress)
Lineage: Eukaryota; Viridiplantae; Streptophyta; Magnoliopsida; Brassicales; Brassicaceae
Source: RNAcentral